This 861-nucleotide ribosomal RNA is filed under the name uncultured marine bacterium. Its description in RNAcentral is "bacterial SSU rRNA". It matches the Rfam family "Bacterial small subunit ribosomal RNA", at positions 56 to 918 of the family's 1533-position model. The record is from RNAcentral.
UGCAAGUCGAGGGGUAACGGGGAAGCUUGCUUCCGCCGACGACCGGCGCACGGGUGCGUAACGCGAAUACAAUCUACCUUGUACUGGGGUAUAGCCUUUAGAAAUGAAGAUUAAUCCCCCACAGUCUCUUAGAGUGGCAUCACUUCUAGAGUAAAGGUUACGGUAUAAGAUGAGUAUGCGUUCUAUUAGUUUGUUGGUGUGGUAACGGCACACCAAGACUACGAUAGAUAGGGGCCCUGAGAGGGGGAUCCCCCACACUGGUACUGAGACACGGACCAGACUCCUACGGGAGGCAGCAGUGAGGAAUAUUGGACAAUGGAGGCAACUCUGAUCCAGCCAUGCCGCGUGCAGGAAGACUGCCCUAUGGGUUGUAAACUGCUUUUAUACAGGAAGAAACACCUCUACGUGUAGAGGCUUGACGGUACUGUAAGAAUAAGGAUCGGCUAACUCCGUGCCAGCAGCCGCGGUAAUACGGAGGAUCCAAGCGUUAUCCGGAAUCAUUGGGUUUAAAGGGUCCGUAGGUGGAUAACUAAGUCAGAGGUGAAAUCUUGCAGCUCAACUGUAAAAUUGCCUUUGAAACUGGUUAUCUUGAGUUAUUAUGAAGUAGUUAGAAUAUGUAGUGUAGCGGUGAAAUGCAUAGAUAUUACAUAGAGUACCAAUUGCGAAGGCAGAUUACUAAUAAUUAACUGACACUGAUGGACGAAAGCGUGGGUAGCGAACAGGAUUAGAUACCCUGGUAGUCCACGCCGUAAACGAUGGUUACUAGCUGUUUGGACUUCGGUCUGAGUGGCUAAGCGAAAGUGAUAAGUAACCCACCUGGGGAGUACGUUCGCAAGAAUGAAACUCAAGGAAUUGACGGGG